UACGUAGGGUGCGAGCGUUGUCCGGAAUUAUUGGGCGUAAAGAGCUCGUAGGCGGUGUGUCACGUCGGCCGUGAAAACCUGCAGCUUAACUGUGGGCGUGCGGUCGAUACGGGCAUCACUGGAGUUCGGCAGGGGAGACUGGAAUUCCUGGUGUAGCGGUGAAAUGCGCAGAUAUCAGGAGGAACACCGGUGGCGAAGGCGGCUACCUGGACAGAAACUGACGCUGAGGCGCGAAAGCUAGGGGAGCAAACAGG
Molecule: ribosomal RNA, 254 nt
Filed under: uncultured bacterium
Lineage: Bacteria
Description: partial 16S ribosomal RNA
Rfam family: Bacterial small subunit ribosomal RNA
Source: RNAcentral